This is a non-coding RNA of Caenorhabditis elegans, 21 nucleotides long. The record is from Ensembl. NCBI's taxonomy places the organism in Eukaryota, Metazoa, Nematoda, Chromadorea, Rhabditida, Rhabditidae.
UGUUGUAUUGCACUAAAGGGU